AAUUAAAUUAGUAUUUGACUUUUUAAUCUUUAAAGAGAUGAAUUAAUUUAAUCUUUGAAAGUUUAUUUCUAAUGGCAUACCUAUGUAAUUAUUUACAAAAAAUAAGGUUAGUUUUUAUUAUGUACUUCCCAAAUAAUAAUAUAGGAUGUCAAACAUCGACAUUAUAACUUUAACUAGAGUUAUUAUGUAGACUCAAACUAUUGGUUGUAUUUGCAAUCUCAUUGAUUGAUUAUGUAGACUCUGAUUCAUAUUAAUAAAGUUUGUUGAGACGGUAAAAAAAAA
RNAcentral lists this small RNA (282 nucleotides) under Arabidopsis thaliana (thale cress). Its description in RNAcentral is "ATSL203810". The record is from RNAcentral. Lineage: Eukaryota; Viridiplantae; Streptophyta; Magnoliopsida; Brassicales; Brassicaceae.